GACGAACGCUGGCGGCGUGCUUAACACAUGCAAGUCGAACGGAAAGGCCCUGCUUUUGUGGGGUGCUCGAGUGGCGAACGGGUGAGUAACACGUGAGUAACCUGCCAUUGACUGUGGGAUAACUUCAGGAAACUGGGGCUAAUACCGGAUAGGAGCUCCUGCUGCAUGGUGGGGGUUGGAAAGUUUCGGCGGUUGGGGAUGGACUCGCGGCUUAUCAGCUUGUUGGUGGGGUAGUGGCUUACCAAGGCUUUGCCGGGUAGCCGGCCUGAGAGGGUGACCGGCCACAUUGGGACUGAGAUACGGCCCAGACUCCUACGGGAGGCAGCAGUGGGGAAUAUUGCACAAUGGGCGGAAGCCUGAUGCAGCAACGCCGCGUGCGGGAUGACGGCCUUCGGGUUGUAAACCGCUUUCGCCUGUGACGAAGCGUUAGUGACGGUAAUGGGUAAAGAAGCACCGGCUAACUACGUG
RNAcentral lists this ribosomal RNA (468 nucleotides) under uncultured bacterium. RNAcentral's name for it is "partial 16S ribosomal RNA". It matches the Rfam family "Bacterial small subunit ribosomal RNA", at positions 28 to 507 of the family's 1533-position model. The record is from RNAcentral.